UACGUAGGGGGCAAGCGUUGUCCGGAAUCAUUGGGCGUAAAGAGCGUGUAGGCGGACUGGAAGGUCUGGUGUGAAAGCCCGGGGCUCAACCCCGGAGGGUCACUGGAAACCAACAGUCUUGAGUCCGGAAGAGGAGAGUGGAAUUCCUGGUGUAGCGGUGGAAUGCGCAGAUAUCAGGAAGAACACCCGUGGCGAAGGCGGUUCUCUGGGACGGUACUGACGCUGAGACGCGAAAGCGUGGGGAGCGAACAGG
RNAcentral lists this ribosomal RNA (253 nucleotides) under uncultured bacterium. Its description in RNAcentral is "partial 16S ribosomal RNA". It matches the Rfam family "Bacterial small subunit ribosomal RNA", at positions 524 to 776 of the family's 1533-position model. The record is from RNAcentral.